AUACGGAGGGUGCAAGCGUUAAUCGGAAUUACUGGGCGUAAAGAGUACGUAGGUGGUUUGUUAAGUCAGAUGUGAAAGCCCCGGGCUCAACCUGGGAACUGCAUUUGAAACUGGCAAACUAGAGUAUGUUAGAGGGGGGUAGAAUUUCUAGUGUAGCGGUGAAAUGCGUAGAUAUUAGAAGGAAUACCAGUGGCGAAGGCGGCCCCCUGGACCAAUACUGACACUGAGGUACGAAAGCGUGGGUAGCGAACAGAAUUAGAAACCCUAGUAGUCC
RNAcentral lists this ribosomal RNA (274 nucleotides) under uncultured bacterium. RNAcentral's name for it is "partial 16S ribosomal RNA". It matches the Rfam family "Bacterial small subunit ribosomal RNA", at positions 523 to 796 of the family's 1533-position model. The record is from RNAcentral.